This 166-nucleotide unclassified non-coding RNA is filed under the name uncultured Nectria. RNAcentral's name for it is "sequence contains ITS2". The record is from RNAcentral. Lineage: Eukaryota; Fungi; Ascomycota; Sordariomycetes; Hypocreales; Nectriaceae.
CAACCCUCAAGCCCCCUUGGGGCCUGGUGUUGGGGGACGGCCCCUUCUGGAGCCGCCCCCGAAAUACAGUGGCGGUCUCGCUGUCAGCUUCCUCUGCGUAGUAGAAACACCUCGCACUGGGACGCGGCGCGGCCAUGCCGUAAAACGCAACCAUCUAUUCUGAAGG